This 684-nucleotide ribosomal RNA is filed under the name Cronobacter sakazakii. Its description in RNAcentral is "partial 23S ribosomal RNA". It matches the Rfam family "Bacterial large subunit ribosomal RNA", at positions 2263 to 2925 of the family's 2925-position model. Lineage: Bacteria; Pseudomonadati; Pseudomonadota; Gammaproteobacteria; Enterobacterales; Enterobacteriaceae. The record is from RNAcentral.
GGGUAGUUUGACUGGGGCGGUCUCCUCCCAAAGUGUAACGGAGGAGCACGAAGGUCAGCUAAUCCUGGUCGGACAUCAGGAGGUUAGUGCAAUGGCAUAAGCUGGCUUGACUGCGAGAGUGACGGCUCGAGCAGGUGCGAAAGCAGGUCAUAGUGAUCCGGUGGUUCUGUAUGGAAGGGCCAUCGCUCAACGGAUAAAAGGUACUCCGGGGAUAACAGGCUGAUACCGCCCAAGAGUUCAUAUCGACGGCGGUGUUUGGCACCUCGAUGUCGGCUCAUCACAUCCUGGGGCUGAAGUAGGUCCCAAGGGUAUGGCUGUUCGCCAUUUAAAGUGGUACGCGAGCUGGGUUUAGAACGUCGUGAGACAGUUCGGUCCCUAUCUGCCGUGGGCGCUGGAGAAUUGAGGGGGGCUGCUCCCAGUACGAGAGGACCGGAGUGGACGCAUCACUGGUGUUCGGGUUGUCAUGCCAAUGGCACUGCCCGGUAGCUAAAUGCGGAAGAGAUAAGUGCUGAAAGCAUCUAAGCACGAAACUUGCCCCGAGAUGAGUUCUCCCUGACUCCUUGAGAGUCCUGAAGGAACGUUGAAGACGACGACGUUGAUAGGCCGGGUGUGUAAGCGCAGCGAUGCGUUGAGCUAACCGGUACUAAUGAACCGUGAGGCUUAACCUUACAACGCCAAAGAAGU